RNAcentral lists this ribosomal RNA (253 nucleotides) under uncultured bacterium. Its description in RNAcentral is "partial 16S ribosomal RNA". It matches the Rfam family "Bacterial small subunit ribosomal RNA", at positions 524 to 776 of the family's 1533-position model. The record is from RNAcentral.
UACGUAGGUCCCGAGCGUUGUCCGGAUUUAUUGGGUGUAAAGGGAGCGUAGACGGUUCUGCAAGUCUGAAGUGAAAGCCCGUGGCUUAACCGCGGAACGGCUUUGGAAACUGUGGAACUGGAGUGCUGGAGAGGCAAGCGGAAUUCCUAGUGUAGCGGUGAAAUGCGUAGAUAUUAGGAGGAACACCAGUGGCGAAGGCGGCUUGCUGGACAGUAACUGACGUUGAGGCUCGAAAGCGUGGGGAGCAAACAGG